This 225-nucleotide long non-coding RNA is filed under the name Mytilus galloprovincialis (Mediterranean mussel). The record is from RNAcentral. Lineage: Eukaryota; Metazoa; Mollusca; Bivalvia; Mytilida; Mytilidae.
UUUAUUAGGACUUUGAACCGGCAGUUUAUACAUGGCAAAUGUUUCCUUUUCUGAAACAUACUUUCUUCUUACUGCUGCUGCAUGGGUACAAUGUAUGCAGUAGCUUACAGGUAAAUUGACGCAAGUGAGUUCCGAAAAUUGGCGCAAUUGAUACAUUUGGAAAACUAUAUUUGGCGCAAAUGAUACCCCUGAAAAACAGUAAUUGGCGCAAAAGGACUGCUGCCC